This is a long non-coding RNA of Aethalodelphis obliquidens (Pacific white-sided dolphin), 1540 nucleotides long. RefSeq lists it as uncharacterized. NCBI's taxonomy places the organism in Eukaryota, Metazoa, Chordata, Mammalia, Artiodactyla, Delphinidae. The record is from RefSeq and is a predicted model, not a curated record. The transcript has 4 exons.
UUUUUCAACUUCCAGUUCUCCCCUCUUCUGGUUUAUCCCACUCACAGCAGGAAAAUUACUCUCGCUAAAACACAACUUCUGUCUGUCCCUCUGUUGCUUAAGAACAUUCUGUGGCUUACCACUGCCCUCGGAAUAAACAUAAAAUUCGGAGCAAAACUAUAACAUCAUCUAUGAUGCCGCUUCUCUUCACCUCGUCAAUUAUAUACUUCACUCCCACUCUGUAAAAUGCCUUCAUGUCCUCAAAGGCAAUUUCAUUCAUUCACUAAAAAAAUGCUUGCAAUUCUGCUAGGUGCUGGGGAUGCAUCAAUGAAAACGAAAGCCCCAGUCCUGGAGCACACAUCACUGGAGUCUAGAGGGACAUGCGCACAAGAAAACAAGUUUCACUCUGGGAAGUACAAUAUACUAUUGGAUAAGAGAGGCGCAUAAUAUCCAGGCGUGGAUUAUCAAGAGAAGGCUUCUCAAAGGAAGUGACAUUUACACUGUGGCUUGAAGGCAAAGCAGCAAUUACCCAGGUAGAGAGUGGACAAGCAGUGCCCCAAGAAGAAGGCAAAGACUGUGUGAAGGUCCAGAGGUGAGACUGAGCAUGGUCUGUUCAAGUAACUGAAAGAAACUCUGCUCUGUUGGAAUUUAAUAUAGUGGUGCCUAAGAAAGAAGAGAACAAAUUUGGAAAGCCAAGACAAAACAUGUAGACUUUAUUCUAAGAAAAAUGUGGAGCUACUGGACAUUUUUAAAGAAGGAAAAUAUAAUGAGAAGAUUUAUCCAAGAAAUUACACUCUGGCUGAAGGUGCAGAAUGGGCCAAGAAGGGAUGCAGAGGACCAGGGAAAAAGCCACUUCUAGACCUAAAUUAGAGCCCUUCUGAAUACGGACAAGGUCCUGGAUGAUGGCUGAUGUGGAGAAAAUAUAAAGGUCCUUGGACAUUAGCCUUGAUGGGUGAUCCAUGGGAUAGAUGGUUGCCAUUCCUCAGAUGUUUCCUCCUGAAACCCAGCCACCACCAUGUGAAGAAGGUAGGCACUCAGCCAGUGCUUAACAUCAACCACCAGACACAUAGAAAUAUGAGUGAAUGACCAAGUCUUCAUAUGACCGUAGCCCCUACACUUCUAGUCUUCCAGCUGAGAUCCAGAUAUCGCAAAGUACAGCCAACCCAACCCUAGUGUGUCUGAAUUUCUCACCAAUGGAAACCAUAGAUGUGACGAAAGGAGCUCUGGUUGCCAUCUGGAAUUACGAGGUAAACUUGAGGAUGGAAUGGGAGUCAAAAAAUGAAAGGAUCAUGGAUUCCUGACAACAGUGUUGCUGUUACACGGCCUGGGCUGCUUAACUCCAGACUUCUUUCUAUAUGAGAAAGAAAUCAACUCUUGUCAAAGUAUUAUUGCAGGUUCUCUAUUACAUGGAUUCAAUCCAAGGUGAUAGGAGGAUAAGUAUUAUUUCAAUUUUGCGAUUACUGGGAAGGGCUGGAUGACCUUCAGUUUCUCAUUAUAUACAGAAUUACAUAUGACAGGACAUGAUAAUAAUAAUGACAUUAUUCCUAUUUAAUAAAAUCUG